Molecule: ribosomal RNA, 645 nt
Filed under: Pediococcus pentosaceus
Lineage: Bacteria; Bacillati; Bacillota; Bacilli; Lactobacillales; Lactobacillaceae
Description: bacterial SSU rRNA
Rfam family: Bacterial small subunit ribosomal RNA
Source: RNAcentral
UUGAUUAUGACGUACUUGUACUGAUUGAGAUUUUAACACGAAGUGAGUGGCGAACGGGUGAGUAACACGUGGGUAACCUGCCCAGAAGUAGGGGAUAACACCUGGAAACAGAUGCUAAUACCGUAUAACAGAGAAAACCGCAUGGUUUUCUUUUAAAAGAUGGCUCUGCUAUCACUUCUGGAUGGACCCGCGGCGUAUUAGCUAGUUGGUGAGGUAAAGGCUCACCAAGGCAGUGAUACGUAGCCGACCUGAGAGGGUAAUCGGCCACAUUGGGACUGAGACACGGCCCAGACUCCUACGGGAGGCAGCAGUAGGGAAUCUUCCACAAUGGACGCAAGUCUGAUGGAGCAACGCCGCGUGAGUGAAGAAGGGUUUCGGCUCGUAAAGCUCUGUUGUUAAAGAAGAACGUGGGUAAGAGUAACUGUUUACCCAGUGACGGUAUUUAACCAGAAAGCCACGGCUAACUACGUGCCAGCAGCCGCGGUAAUACGUAGGUGGCAAGCGUUAUCCGGAUUUAUUGGGCGUAAAGCGAGCGCAGGCGGUCUUUUAAGUCUAAUGUGAAAGCCUUCGGCUCAACCGAAGAAGUGCAUUGGAAACUGGGAGACUUGAGUGCAGAAGAGGACAGUGGAACUCCAUGGUUAACCC